RNAcentral lists this ribosomal RNA (497 nucleotides) under uncultured bacterium. RNAcentral describes it as "partial 16S ribosomal RNA". It matches the Rfam family "Bacterial small subunit ribosomal RNA", at positions 28 to 507 of the family's 1533-position model. The record is from RNAcentral.
GAUGAACGCUGGCGGCGUGCCUAAUACAUGCAAGUCGAGCGAAAAGACGAGGAGCUUGCUCCUCUGACGUUAGCGGCGGACGGGUGAGUAACGCGUAGCUAACCUACCUAUUAGCCCGGACUAACUUAGGAGACCCGGAAAUAAUAUCGAAUAAUCUAUUGGACCGCAUGGUUCAAUAGUGAAAGGAAAUUUUGGUGUUACUUAUAGAUGGAUCCGCGCCGCAUUAGCUAGUUGUUGAGGUAACGGCUUACCAAGGCAACGAUGACUAGCCGACCUGAGAGUGUGAUCGUCCACACUGGAACUGAGACACGGUCCAGACUCCUACGGGUGGCAGCAGUAGGGAAUCUUCCGCAAUGGGCGAAAGCCGGACGGAGCAACGCCGCGUGAGUGAUGAAGGUCUUCGGAUCGUAAAACUCUGUUAUUAGGGAAGAACAAAUGUGUAAGUAACUAUGCACGUCUUGACGGUACCUAAUCAGAAAGCCACGGCUAACUACGUG